RNAcentral lists this long non-coding RNA (7377 nucleotides) under Homo sapiens (human). RNAcentral's name for it is "HSALNT0316324". The stretch from base 811 to 958 matches the Rfam family "Metazoan signal recognition particle RNA". The record is from RNAcentral. Lineage: Eukaryota; Metazoa; Chordata; Mammalia; Primates; Hominidae.
GUUAUAGCCUGAAAGCAGCCAUAGAAGGUACAUAAAUAAAUGGGUGUGGCUGUGUUCCAAUAAAACUGUAUUUACAAAAAUAGGUGGCAGACUGGAUUUGGCCUAUGGGUCAUAGUUUGCCCACUCUUGAUCUAAUCUAUAAACCAUGAUUUAUGAGAUUGUCUACUCUGGCUGUGAAGAACAGACACUAUUACUGGCUCUGGAAACACCACCUGGAACACAGCUGUGACUUGAUAAACAAGUGAAACAUUCUUUGGUGUGGUGAGGGGAAAACAAAUUUCUCAAAGGACACGCACCAUGGUGUAUGAGAGGACACUGGAGCCCAGCCAGCAUCUGACAUGCUGAAUUCAAAGUGCAGGUGAAAGUAGGACAACUGAUUCACAAGCUGGGAUGCCUGUGUUGUUGUUUGCCAGUGUGCGUGUGUGUGUUUUCCUGGCACCCUUCAUUCAUUCCCCAGCACAGUUGACAUCAGGUUGGAAGCAGUGAGUUCUGAGGGAGACUGCUAGAGGACCCAACUUGGAGAAUCAACGAUCUGCGAUGAAGAUAAUGAAGAUAAAGACAAUGUCAAUGUCAGCGUCCAAAAUCAUAAGGACCCUUUAAGAAGCUUCCAGAGCAGAAGUGACUGUGCAAGAAGGGCCAAUAAAGUCUAGGCAAUGCACGACCAGGCGCGGUCGCUCACGCCUGUAAUCCCAGCACUUUGGGAGGCCGAGGUGGUUGGAUUACCUGAGGUUAGGAGUUUGAGACCAGCCUGACCAACAUAGUUUCACCCCAUCUCUACUAAAAAAAAAAAAAAAAACAAAACAAAAGUUAGCCAGGUGUGGUGCUGCACACCUGUAAUCCCAGCUACUCUGGAAGCUGAGGCAGGAGAAUCGCUUGAACCCAGGAGGCGGAGGUGGCAGUGAGCUGAGAUUGCACCGCUGCACUCCAGCCUGGGCGACAGAGUGAGACUCUGUCUCAAAAAUAAAUAAAUAAAUAAAUAAUAAAGUCUAGGCAAUGCAGCAGACUGCAGACAAAUGGGUCUCCAGACUCAUGAGCACUUGGCUUUUGUUACUCUCACCUCCACCACCCUUUACCUGGUUCUAUAUCUGUCCUUUGGACCUUCCUGCAUUUACCUUCCUGCUUUUGCUCCUUAGUCUGGUUUUGUCCCAGAAUUUACUCUCCUACUGCCCGCUCUCCUGUCCCUGAUGGUUCAUAGUUUCUUACUAUCAGGGAGAAACCCUGAUAUUGACUUGGCCCAGCAGUAAUUCUGUCCAUGCAAUUCUCUUGCAUGGGCUGUGACAGGCAGACACCUCACUAAUUAGAUCAGCACAGGGGUCUGCAUACAUUUAGUGUGGGGACCUCCAGCCCAUCCUGGAGCGCACAAAUUUAGUUCAGCACCAUUCAGCUGCUGAAAUUUGAUGCAGUGGCCCUGGAUGACCAAAGAAUGUGGUGAUAAUUCUAAACAGGGUGUGUUCAUUAAGUGAAGGAAAUGUAGAAUACGUUUUAGAUGAAAAAGAAAUUUUUAAGUUUGGAGGGUAAAGAUCAAUCAUCCGUAAAACUAACUGAUAUAUAACAGUUCAUUUUUGUUGAUACUAGAUAAAUAAGGAGUGAAGACAUUUUCAGAAUUACAAUGGCAUUUAUCUGCCUUCAUUAAAUUAAGCUCAGGAAACUAAUGCAGACUCCAAAUUGCCCACAGUCUAACACAGUCUCUGCAUCUGCGGUUAACAAAAUUAAAUUUGGGAAAAUCAAGAGUAAGACUUUUAAUGUUUCUACCACCUGUCAGCCUGGAAAGUUUUCUUAGUUUUUCUUUUUGGAGAGGCAUUUGAGAUUUGUGUUCCUGUCAACUUGAGAGAGGAAUGGAGGAAGUCAAAGGGAAGAAGAGGAGCUGAUGUUGCAGUCCGAGGGGAAACAGGAGUGAGGGCAGGGAGCCCAGAAGAGGGUCAGGGUGAAGAUGGGUGUGGGGAAGGCAGAGCAAACCAGCUGCUGCUGUCAACCCUGACCUAUUUCCUGGAGCUCUGGGAGCCCUCCCAUCCCUGCUCUCAGCAACAGUGAUGCUGCCUUUGGGCGGCUGUGCAGCCAACCCACACUGAGUGAUAGCUGUCCCUGUCAUUUUCUUAAAUGUCACCAGUGAAAGAGACAUUUCCACCUCCCUGGAGUACACAUACUCCACUUGUGGAUAAGUGGACACUUGGUUCCAUUUUCACAGCUUCCAAAAAUUGGUCACAGAUGACUAACAAUUGUGUCAACUUCUCUGGUAUGAGAAGCCAUAGAUGGAGGUAUACAGAAAUGAUUUCUUAAAAAAUGUAAUGUCCUUUCUAUGUGGCAGUAAAACAUCUUUCCUGCCACUAGGAGAAAUGUGUUCUUUGAAUUAUUUUCACAGCCAUAAAGGCAGACCUGUGAAAGGCUAUCUGUACUGGAUAGUUCUCUGCUUUCAUGGAUUUUAUUCAGAAUCAUCCAUUCUUGGAAAUGGUGGGGAAAGGGGAAAUAAAAAGAGAACAAAUAUAUGUUGGAUUAGUUAGUAUAAAUUAUAAUUCAUAAACUACAGUGUCCAAGCAAUAUUACCUUCCACAUAUUCUAGAAUAGCUUGGUUCCUAUUUUUGAGCCCCUGCCUGGUGCCAGUAACGUGUUUUCAGCUAAUUCAGGGUUUCUGUCCCCAUUUUCCUUGGAGGAAUAUCUAAGUUCUUUGGGGAUAUUGCUGGUGCCAAGCAUGAAGCUGUUGGAGAACGAGGAGGCUUUGGCAUCUUGUCCUCAGCAUCACGUAAAUCCUAUCAGAACUUAGAAGUGAAAUGGGAAGGAUUGUUUAUCUCCUGCCCAACUAGCUGCUGGGUUGUUCCUUACUCCCACUCACAAGGUCUCUUUGUGUCACUCUAGGUCAUUUUGCUCUCCUGAGACAGUCUGGGAACCACUUUGAGGCUGUUUGAGUCCAGAGCCAUGGCCUAGGCCUCUUGCAGUGUGGGGAUCCUGCUGUGUUCCCUCAGCCGAAUCAGGGGCACUGGGCAGUGCCUUCCCCUCUCCUGGCCUAUUCUCAGCCACGCCUAAGUGAUCUUAUUUCAUCUUGACACUAACCUUGGAUAUUUGAAAUAGAAUUAUUCAUUUACAAAGGAGGAAAAUGAGAUUCAGACAAGCUAAAUACAUGCCAAAGCCACAUAACUACAAGUGGCAGAGCUCAGUCUGCUUUCCAAACCCAUGCGGCUCCCUUCAUCACCGUGACUCACCCACUUUAUCCCCCAACUUCGAGGAAGUCUCUUCUGAUCACCCAAGAAUAAUGUCUGCCUCCUUAGAAAUUUUGUAGCCGUUGGUGUUUCAAUUUUGGGAGUGACAUCUAAUUGUCACACACUGUUUCACAUGCUAGCUAUCUGUGCACGUAUCUAGACAAGCCUGCUUAGGCUGUGGCUCCUGGAAGGCAAAGACCACUUCUUGUGUUUAUCUCUAUCCCAUCUACUAACACCACACUCUGCACAUGAUAAAUGUUUAAUAUAUGAUUGAUUACAAUAAAAACGUGUUAAAAAAUUGGUAAAUGGAUGAACCUCUACUUUCUAUAUGAAUGUAUUCUAUCUGUGUGCUUACACUGCAAUUAUAGGCUAGUUAACAAUGCAUGGCCUAUAGAUGUCUGCCCUUGUUCUUGCCUUCUAGUUCCACAGUCCUUAAUCCACACUGUACUUUGGAGAGCAUACAGGUCCAGCAGUGAUGCGGCUCUAUCUCACGCCUACUCUCUUAUUCUACUUACAGAAUCUGCUGUCCCCUGACUUUUUAAUUUCUCAGUUUUCUGACUCCAUUCCCAGGCUCCAGACAUAGGCCUCUAUGCUCUUCUUUUUAAAGACAAGUCAUUUGGACCCUUACUUGGAGCCUUUCUUGCCCUGUGGUAAGAUUGAAUCUCAACUCUGCAUGCUCCCUCAAUUGCCAGGGCACCUGGGACUCUGGGAACAGACAGGGUCUGUGCCCACAUCAGCCUGGUGGUAUUCUCACUGGCUUGGAGUAUUCUUGCCAGUGUCCUCAUCUUCCCACAGGACAGAAGGAUUAUCAUACGGUGAACAUAUGGAGUGUUCCCAAGGUGCCUCUUAAAAAAUCCCAAUAACUGGUUCAAUGGUACAGCUUAGAAAUGCGUAAUUGAAUUUUUAAAAAUAGUUUAGAUUAAAAUCUAUUUAGAAAAGGGGGAAAUGAUAUAUUUUCUUAUAUAUGCUAUGGCAAAGUUUAAUAUCCAAGGAUAAUCCCUACAGAGUUGUCAGAUCUGUUGGUUAUAAGGGAGAGAUACCUAAUUUAAAUUAAUUUAAGCAAAAGAAGAGAAUGAAUUGUUUAUAUAACUGAAAAGUCUAGGGCUUCAGGCACAAUAGAAUCCAGUGAUAUCUGUCUUUCUCUAAAUCUAGAGACUUUGCUUUCAAACUUUAAUUUGGACCCUAACAGGUGGGGCCUCUCUCAGAAGCAGAGAUACUUUCUCUCUCAGCAUCCAAUUAGUUGCUGAAAAAGUACUCUGAGUGGCCCUGCUUGGGUCAUGCCCGCUAUUAGACCAAUCUGUAUCCACUGAGAAAGGAUAUGCUGGUCAGCUUAGAUUAUGUUUCUUCUACUGUGGUUGUCAAUGCAGGAUCACAUGAUUGUGAGGUCCUCUAGAGUCCUCCAGACUAAGUGAGGCAAGGCAGAUUCCCAAAUGAAACAAUGUAGGGAAGACCGAAAUACCCAGCACAUGCCCAUUGUGUUCAUGAAUUAGGUCCUCCAUAAUGGUCCCCCCCCAUCUCACUACCCCCAGUGAAAUGAAUCUAUGCCCUACAAAUGGCUAAAGGGAAUUAACAUCUGUUGAUCUCUUGUUAAGUUCAAGCACUAUGCAGGGAAUAUUAAAAGCAUCAUAUUCUUUAACUCUUAUAAUUGUCUUCCUUUAUUCCACCUUUUUAACAAGUCUGCCACCAGUUCAGCAAGGCAAGCUAGGUCUCGUGUGGAAGGAAAGCCCUGCAGCCCCUCAGCAUUCACAGCUCUUAUUUUACUCACUGGUAUCUGGUCCUGUCCUCGAUCACUUUACCCUGACCUAACACCAGUCUCUAUUCCACCAUCAGUCAGCCCAGUUUUGCUACACCAAUUGACCAUCUCCAAAGAGUUUCUGACCUACCCCCUCCUUCUACCUGACAGUUCCACACACAGACCCCUUCCUCAUUCUCUGUGACUUACUGUAUUAGUCUAUUCUUGCACUGCUAUAAAGAAAUAUCCGAGACUGGAUAAUUUAUAAAGGAUAGAGGUUUAAUUGGCUCAUAGUUCUAUAGUCUGUACAGGAAGCAUAGAGGCUUCUGCUUUUGGGGAGGCCUCAGGAAAUUUAUAAUCAUGGCAGAAGGUGAAGGAGAAGCAAGCACAUCUUACAUGGCCAGAGCAGGAGCAAGAGGGUAGGGGAGAGCCUAUAUACUUUUAAACAACUAGAUCUCAUGAGAACUCCCUCACCAUUGCAACAUAGUACCAAGAGGAAAAUCCGCCCCCAUGAUCCAAUCACCUCCCACCAGGCCCCACCUCAAACAAUAGGGAGGAUUACAAUUCAACAUGAGAUUUGGGCAGGGUCACAGAUCCAAACCAUAUCAUUCUGCCCCAGCCCCUCCCAAAUCUCAUGUCCUUCUCACAUUUCAAAAUACAAUCAUAUUUACCCAAUAAUGUAUUCCCCCAAAAUUCCCCAAAGCCUUAGCUCAUUUCAUCACUUACUCAAAAGUCCACAGUUCAAAGUUUUAUGUGAGACAAGUCCCUUCUGCCUAUGAGCCUAUAAAAUUAAAAACAAGUUACUUACUCCCAAGAUACAAUUGGGGUACAAGCAUUGGGUAAAUACUCCCAUUCCAAAAGGGAUAAAUUGGCCAAAAGAAAGGGACCCAGCAGGGCAAUCAUUAAAUCUAAAAGCACCAAAAUCAUCUCCUUUGACUUCCAUGCUCCACAUCCAGAGCACACUGGUGUGAGGGGUAGGCUCCCAGAGCCUUCUGCAGCUCUAUGCCUUUGGCUUUGUAGGGUUCAGCCCCUGAGGCUGCUCUCAAGGGCUGAUAUUGAGUGUCUGUGGCUUCUCCAGGUGCAAGGUGCAAGCUGUUGGUGGAUCUGUCAUUAUGGGGUCUGGAGGAUGGUGGCCAUUUUCUCAUAGCUCCAUUAAGAAGUGUCCCAGUGGGGACUUUGUGUGGGGGACCCAACCCCACAUUUUUCCUCUGCACUGCCCUAGUAGAGGUUUUCCAUGAGGGCUCCACUCUUGCAGCAGGCUUCUGCCUAGACGUUCUGGCAUUUCCAUACAUCCUCUGAAAUCUAGGUGGAGGCUCCCAAGCCUCAACUCUUGCACUUUGUGCACCCACAGGCUUAACACCACAUGGAAGCCAACUAGGCUUAUGACUUGCAUCCUCUGAAGCAGGGGCCCAAGCUGUACCUUGGCCACUUUUAGCCAUGGCUGGAGUUGUAGCAACUGGGAUGUAGGAAGCUGUGUUCUGAGGCUGCAAAGGGCAGUGGGGCCCUUGGCCUGUCCAGGAAACCAUUCAAUCCUGUUAGGGCUCUGGGCCUGUGAUGGGAGGAGCUGCCAUGAAGUUCUCUAAAAUGGCUUCAAGGCUUUUUCCUCAUUGUCUUGGCUAUUAGCAUUUGCCUUCCCUUUAGUUAUACAAAUUUCUGCAGCCUGCUCGAAUUUCUCCCCUGAAAAUGAGCUACUACUGUUGCAACAUAGUACCAAACUUUCCUAACACAUGGCCAGGCUGCAAAAUUUCCAAACUUGCAUGCUAUGCUUUUUUUUUUUUUAAAUAUAAGUUCCAAUUUCAGGUAAUUUAUUUGCUUAUGUAUAUGAGCAUAGGUUGUUAGAAGUAGCCAGGUGACAUCUGAAUGCUGUGCUGCUUAGAAAUUUCUUCUGCCAGAUAUCCCAAAUCAUCUCUCUCAAGUUCAAAGUUUCACAGAUCCUUGGGGUAGGGUCAUAAUGCCUCCAAAUUCUUUGCUAAAACAUAACAAAAGUGACCUUUGUUCCAGCUCCCAAUAAGUUUCUCAUUUCUAUCUGAGAACUUCUCAGCCUGGACUUCAUUGUCCAUAUCACUAUCAGCAUUUUGAUUACAGCAAUUUAAGAAGUCUCUUGGAAGUUCCAAACUUUCCAUCAUCUUCCUGUUUUCUCAGCCCUCCAAACUGUUCCAACCUCUUCCCAUUAUCCAGUUAUAAAACUGCUUCUACAUUUUCAGGUAUCUUUAUAACAAUGCCCCACUCCUUGGAACCAAAAUCUGUAUUAGCCCGUUCUCACACUGCUAUAAAGAAAUACCUGAGACUGGGUAAUUUAUAAAGAAAAGAGAUUUAAUUGGCUUAUAGUUUUGCAGGCUGUACAGAAAAUAUACUGGCUUCAGCUUCUGGGGAGGCUUCAGGAAACUUGCAGUCAUGGCAGAAGGAGAAGGAGAAAUAGGCAGAUCUUACAUGGCCAAAGCAGGAGCAUGAAAG